Molecule: non-coding RNA, 45 nt
Organism: Trichobilharzia regenti
Lineage: Eukaryota; Metazoa; Platyhelminthes; Trematoda; Strigeidida; Schistosomatidae
Source: Rfam
AUCCAGAUGACGAAUCCCAAAUAGGACGAAAUGCGCAUCCUGGAU